UUAAAAUGGCCUUAUUACAACCCAAAACCAAAUAAUAAUAUUAAUAAGAUAAAACUUAUAAAGAAAUAAAUCGGCUACUUAUUGCAAUUAAAAGAAACAGAAACAGUAGUGUGGCCAUCUCCGAGUCCCUCGCAGCUUCAAACCAUCUAAGCUUAGGGAUUACCUGCACAGUUAGAAACAGGGUGAGUUUACGAAAACUUAGUGUGUAAUCCCCAACAACAAACAAACAGUGAAUAACACAGUGUCAGUACAAUCUAGGCCAAAGCCCUAUUCAGUAACAGUACAGUCUAGGCCUUAGCCCUUAAACAGUAGCAAUAUGGGCCUAAGCUCUAAUUCAGUCUCGACAUAUACUGGGCCGAAGCCUUUUCAUAAAUCAUAUCACUGGCCGAAGCCUUUACUGUAAGCGGUAUGGCCCAUAGGCCCAUUUCAAUAUCACAUGUAAUAUCAAUGAAUGUAUGCAAGCCCAUUUGGGGAGACUACUCAACCCACCAUCCGCUAUUCUCCACCCGUACCAACCAACACACCAUGUGGGGAAUAACUCAACCCACCCAACCGAACUCUCCACUGGCAGCAUAGCUGCUUUAUCAUAUAACAGGAGGCCUAGCCUUUUUUAAUAACUAGGGCAAAGCCCUUUCUGAUAAUGUAACACCCCUAUAACCCGUGUCCGUCACCGGGGUGGGUUAUGAAGAGUUACUGAUUCAAAAUUUAAUAUUUUAAAAACAUACACAAUAAAAAAAAUAAAAUAAAAAUAUACAUCGCCAAACUAAGUUAAAGAUCAAAAUUCAAACUUGUAUCGACAUUCAAAAGUAGCCAUAUUCACAUGGCUUAUAUAUAAGUACAUCUCAAAAUAUCAUUCGCUUAAGUCUAUUCCAUACAUGCCAUACUAGCUUCAAAAUAUAGUAGUACCCCAAAAUGACAGAUAGUGUGACGAGUAGCUGACGAUUCCCUUUUCGAGCAGGUAACUGGAAUCAAUAAUCUAUAAAACAGAGAACGUAACAAACGAAGUAAGAUUUCAAAGCUUAGUAAGUUUUAACCAUCACAAAUAAUUAAAACUUAUCGAAAAUCAAAACAUUCAUUUAAGCAGACUUAUUCUCAAUUCAAAUUGCUUCAUGGCCGAAUACACAUAAACAUAAACAUAGAUUCUCAGCACAUAUUUUUCUUUUACUAAUAGUUCAUACGAUGCAUUUAAAAUAAAUAAUCUCAUAUAUUAACACCAUUUGAACGAAUAGGUCAUUGCUUUACUCGUAGAAAUAACAAUCAUUCACACUUAAGUAUCAUUCUUUAAUACUAAUAAUUCACAAAUCAUUGACUGAAUGUACAUGAGUACAUAAAGAAAUUUUAAUAUAUAAUUCAUAUACAAAUAUACCAUGACCGAUUAAAUCAUUCUCAUAUUCGCAAAUAUAACCAUCAAUUACACUUAUAUAUAUAAAUGUAUAUAUAUAUUCUUUGAUGCUAUGAUUCACUUCGAAAUCAAAUCCCCGAUGUGUAAGUAAUACGUACCUGAACACCUUAAAUGUAUAGUACUUACUCAACGAUGGUUUACUGCGAACAUUCAAUAUCGUAGUCUUACUUAAUUACUGGCAUUAAGCCUGUCAGGUCUUAGAACUUGAAACCAAUUACCAGCACAAGCUUGCUAGAAUUUAAACCCGGUAUAAUACCAGCUCGAAGCCUAUGGGACUUUCGCCCGAACAUAUUUCCAGUGCGUUGCCUGUGGACCUUAAGUCCGGUUAUAAUUCCAGCACAUAGCCUGCGGACCUUAAGUCCGGGGUAUAAUUCUAGCAUAUAGCCUGCGGGUCUUUAAGCCCGGAUAUAAUUCCAGAAUAUAGCUUGCGGGUCUUUAAGCCUGGAUACACAUCAAAUAUCAUGCAUAUUUAAUCAUAUAUUAACACAACUUAUUCAACAUAUCACAUUAGUAGUCAUUUGCUACGUUCGGAUAUAAGCUCCAUAUGAUUACCAUCAUUUACAUUUUGAUUCGAAAGCCAUACAUAAAUAUCACAUAUCAAGGCAUCAUCAAUUAUAUACUAAAGGUGACUACUCAAAACUUACCUCGAAUAUUUUUGAACAGUCUCGGAUCGGCUAUUCAACUACUUUCUCUUUUCCCUUGUCCAACCUUUGUUCUCUAUGCUCUUGAGCUUAAAUUCAACAAUUUUAAACUAGUCAUUAUUCGACUAUUCAAGUAUUACUUUCAGAAUAUAAUAUAUAUAUACGACUUUCACAUAUAUAGAUCAUAGUAAGUUUAUAAGAAAACAUUAAGAAACUCAUUAACAAAUUUUUAUCAAUAUUUACCACAUAAUCACAAAUUCACAAAUAAACUGUCUUCCUGAGCAACAGUCACUAAAUUAUUUAUAAUUGGAGCUAUUAAACUCCAAAUCAAUUGCUAUAAAAUUUCCCUGAAAAUAGACUCAUAUAUAUUUUAUCCAUAAAAUUUUCAGAAUUUUUAGCUUGGCCAAUCAAUACCAGAUUUUUCUUAAAGUUUCCCCUGUUUCACUAUUUGACUAAUCUGACCACCCUUUACUUCGAAUCAAAUUUCUAAUUGUACAGAAGUCAAAAUAUGUUCUCGCUGAUUUCAUUUGAAACUAGACUCAUUAAGCUUUAAUUAAAUAGUUUAUUUAGCUUCUAACUCUACUCCCACAAUUUAUGGUGAUUUUCCAAAAUCACAUUACAGCUGCUGUCCCAAGCAGAUUUACUACAAUUUACUAUUUCACAACUCUUUGCAUUUAUAUCAUUUAAACAUGUAUAGUUAUGCAACCAAAACACAAAUCAUACAUACCUUAUACUAUGCAUAUCAAAAUAACUCCAACCAUGAUUGGAUAUAACCGAAUUUAAACAUGAAAAUUAAACCAUUUUCGAACUCCUAUAGCUCAUUCGGCAAUUUACAAAAUCAUACCAUUAGAAUUCAUGUACAAUACCGAACCUUUAGACAUUCAAACAUCUACCCUUUUCUUUUCAAAUCAUCUAAAUGGCAAUACUCAUAUUUUAGCAUUUAACUUCAAAACAUUUAUUCAAGUAACUAAACAAGUCCAAGUUCGGCUAUUACACAUAUAAAUACUAUCAAAUUAAACUUUUAACUAGUUCAAACUUCUCUCAUCAACAUUUAUUCAUCAAAACAUAAAGAAAAUAAUCCAAUCUCUUCAUUAACAACCAUGGCCGAAUGCUCCAUUCACCACCCAAAUCCAAAAUUUUAACAUGGCCUAAGUAAGAAACAUGCUGAUUAACCUAAAACAAGCUAGAAUUUUAAAAAAAAAAACCUAACACAAUUUACUAACCUUCCUUAUGAUUCAAAUGAUCGAAUGUCUUGCUCCAUUUUUUUUCUUUCUUUAGAUUCGGCUAAGAAGAACAAAGCUGAGACUUUGUUUUCUUCACCAUUCUUUCUAUUAUUAUUUUAUUUUAUUCAUCUAUAUUAUAAAGUAUAAAGCCAUUUAACUAAUAAUUAAUACAGAUAUUUAAUAUAAAAGCAUCAUCAUGGCCGACCACUAUAAACAAAAAUGUAUAUUUGACAUGCAAGUCUAAACCUUUUGUGACAUGCAUUAAUAGACCCCCUUUUUAAAAUUACCUAUCACCUUCCACAAUUAUUUCACAUAAGUCCUAUUUAAUAAUUUCACAUACAAAUGACAAAAUUAGAGCAUGAAACUUUCACAUAUGCAUGUACACAUAUAAUAAGCAUAGAAUAUAACAGUUAACUAUUUUUAUGACUCGAUUUUGUGGUCCCGAAACAACUUCCUUACUAGGGUCAAAUUAGGGUUGUCACAGAUAAACUGGGGCAAAGCCCUUUUCGGUAAACUGGGGCAGAGCCCUUUUAGCACUUCCUCCAUCAAUAUAACCCAUAUCCCAUGCAAUAUGUCAUGUAUGCAGAAUGUCAUGCCCAUAUUUGAAUCAAACAAUCACAGUCAAGUCAUUCGUAUCAUCAACAUAUUCACAAUCAAAUCCGUCAACCACACAGUCCAAGUCAGUCACUUGCCCACAAGGGCAAAACAAUCAUUUUUCACAUUAUAAGGGUAAUUUCGUAAUUUUACCAAAUAUCAGGGUUUUCCAUGUUCAUCCACAAUUGGCAAUAUUUCUAAGUGUUUAAACAAUGAUCUUUAACCCACUUAUCAAAUUCGGGCUUUUGGGCCCAAAACCCCUAAUGGGCCCUACGAAUGCCGAUUUAGCCCAUUAAGCCCACAUAAUCCAAAUUUUACAACAGUACUAACCAUGUUAACAUGCAACUUUUCCAGAUUCCAUUUUCUAUCAGUUUUACCCAAAUGGGCUCGAAGCCCAUUGGGCCCGAUUCUAGCCCAUUGAGGCCCAACUUACCAUCGUGCACAAAAUUGAGUUCUUGCCUGUUCCAUCGAUCCAAACAUCGAUCAUAUCGUAUUUAUCGCAUCUAUACCCAAACGCAACAUUACAAGUUCCUGAAAUACCGGUAUUUUAGCAUUUCGGCUUCUCAGCAAAUAUUAAUCUAAGUUAUUACGAGGGUUAGUACACACCUGUUACGGGUUGAAGUUGAAACGUUUCCAAAAUCAAUCGCCUACGAUAACCACCACCUGUCACUCAAACUUAA
This 4540-nucleotide long non-coding RNA is filed under the name Gossypium barbadense (sea-island cotton). Its description in RNAcentral is "long non-coding RNA (GBAR_LNC007287)". The record is from RNAcentral. Lineage: Eukaryota; Viridiplantae; Streptophyta; Magnoliopsida; Malvales; Malvaceae.